RNAcentral lists this long non-coding RNA (430 nucleotides) under Heterocephalus glaber (naked mole-rat). RNAcentral describes it as "lncRNA (ENSHGLG00000048699.1)". Lineage: Eukaryota; Metazoa; Chordata; Mammalia; Rodentia; Bathyergidae. The record is from RNAcentral.
CUUCCGGGAGCGGCAGUGGACCCUGUGGCUCCAGGAGGCCCAGCUGGAGGUGGCGUGGAGGCGACAUUGGAAGGCCCUGCUGGCCCAGAGCUUCCGAGAGUGGAGACUCCUGGCGCAGCAGCAGAAACAAGGGCAGCUCCGUAUCCAGGCUGAGCUUGGACCUUGCACUUCCUGGGAGCCAAGGACCAAAUCCCUGCUGGGGAAGAGCGGCAGCGGGGUGCCCCCCACCCCGGGCAGCAGGGCAGGGAGCCAGAAGGAGGAGGAAGGAGCCUGGCCUCCUCCAUCACAGCCUAGGCAGAGACUGCACAGUGGAGAUGAUGAAGACGGGAGAGUCCAGACCCUGCAGGUCCUGCAGCAGCUGGCAGAUGGUGAACUGAGGCUCAAAGCCCAGAGAGGUUAAGUGAUCAGCUCAGGACGCACAGCACGAGAG